Molecule: long non-coding RNA, 1020 nt
Organism: Loxodonta africana (African savanna elephant)
Lineage: Eukaryota; Metazoa; Chordata; Mammalia; Proboscidea; Elephantidae
Exons: 4
Source: RefSeq, a predicted model, not a curated record
UUUUACCUGUUGUAAGAUAAAAGGUGGUGCAGGCCACACCCCAGGGAAACUCCCUUUACAUUGGAUCAAGGAUGUGACCUUAGCAAGGGUGUUACAAUCCCACCCUAAUUCUCUUUAACAUAAAAUUAUGAUCACAAAAUGGAGGACAACCAUACAAUACUGGCAAUUAUGGCCCAGCCAAACUUAUACACACAUUUUUUGGGGGGAUAUAAUUCAAUCUAUGACACAUGGUAAUGGACGCAGUAGUUUAUGGAGGCAAUUAAACCUGUAGUCUAUUUCCUUCUCUGAUUCCUGGAUCUCCUUCUUCCACUUCCAUUCCAGGGCUUGGAGACGAAUUGCUGUAUCUUGGGUGGAUCUCCCAAGUUUUACGACCCCAGUCACUACUCACCGAACUUGGAGCUAAGGAAGCCUGGUUGUGCAGUGGUUAAGCGCUGGGCGGCUAAUUGAAAGGUCGGCAACUUGAACCCACCAGCUGCUCUGCAGGAGAAAGAUGUGGCAGUCUGCUUCUAUAAAGAUCACAGCCUUGGAAAGACCGGACUUUCUGGCUUGACAGACUGGAGAAACCCUGAGGAUAUGGCUCCCAACACCCUUUCAGCUCACUAAUGAGGUCACUCCUGAGGUUUACCCUUCAGCCAAACAUUAAACAGGCCCACGGAACAAAACAAGACUAAAGGAGCACACCAGCCGUGGGGAGAGUCUGGAAAGCAGGAGGAAACAGAUGUCCCUGAGCAGUGCUGACUUGGUGCUAGACUGGUGUGGCUGUUUCUCUGUCCUUCAGUGAUGAGGGAAGAGCUGAUCAUCUUCUUAGAGCAACCUGGUCAAAAGGCCUGGCAAAGAUCGGAGCAUUCAAAAGUGCAAAGGGAGACUGAGUAGAAUCACCUGGCAGUCAUCUUAUCUGGAUAGAUGCUGCCAAAAUGGCUGCGGCAUUAAGAGAUAUACUUGAAGCCCGUUAUAUAAAUGAACUCAUGCCUGCUUUUUAAAGAAUGGGAUUUCUCAUUAUAAUUAUCUGUAAGAAACAAA